Molecule: ribosomal RNA, 1582 nt
Filed under: Clostridium sp.
Lineage: Bacteria; Bacillati; Bacillota; Clostridia; Eubacteriales; Clostridiaceae
Description: bacterial SSU rRNA
Rfam family: Bacterial small subunit ribosomal RNA
Source: RNAcentral
CUUACGUGGACUCAGACUGCAAUCGCGUGUCGCCCUUCAGAGUUUGAUCCUGGCUCAGGACGAACGCUGGCGGCGUGCUUAACACAUGCAAGUCGAGCGAUGAAGCUUCCUUCGGGAGGUGGAUUAGCGGCGGACGGGUGAGUAACACGUGGGUAACCUGCCUCAAAGUGGGGGAUAGCCUUCCGAAAGGAAGAUUAAUACCGCAUAAUAUAAGAGAAUCGCAUGAUUUUCUUAUCAAAGAUUUAUUGCUUUGAGAUGGACCCGCGGCGCAUUAGCUAGUUGGUAAGGUAACGGCUUACCAAGGCAACGAUGCGUAGCCGACCUGAGAGGGUGAUCGGCCACAUUGGAACUGAGACACGGUCCAGACUCCUACGGGAGGCAGCAGUGGCGAAUAUUGCGCAAUGGGGGAAACCCUGACGCAGCAACGCCGCGUGGGUGAUGAAGGUCUUCGGAUUGUAAAGCCCUGUUUUCUGGGACGAUAAUGACGGUACCAGAGGAGGAAGCCACGGCUAACUACGUGCCAGCAGCCGCGGUAAUACGUAGGUGGCGAGCGUUGUCCGGAUUUACUGGGCGUAAAGGGUGCGUAGGCGGAUGUUUAAGUGGGAUGUGAAAUCCCCGGGCUUAACCUGGGGGCUGCAUUCCAAACUGGAUAUCUAGAGUGCAGGAGAGGAAAGCGGAAUUCCUAGUGUAGCGGUGAAAUGCGUAGAGAUUAGGAAGAACACCAGUGGCGAAGGCGGCUUUCUGGACUGUAACUGACGCUGAGGCACGAAAGCGUGGGUAGCAAACAGGAUUAGAUACCCUGGUAGUCCACGCCGUAAACGAUGGAUACUAGGGUGUAGGGGGUAUCAACUCCCCCUGUGCCGCAGUUAACACAAUAAGUAUCCCGCCUGGGGGAGUACGGUCGCAAGAUUAAAACUCAAAGGGAAUUGACGGGGGCCCACACAAGCAGCGGGAGCAUGUGGUUUAAUUCGAAGCAACGCGAAGAACCUUACCUGGACUUGACAUCCCUUGCAUAGCCUAGAGAUAGGUGAAGCCCUUCGGGGCAAGGAGACAGGUGGUGCAUGGUUGUCGUCAGCUCGUGUCGUGAGAUGUUAGGUUAAGUCCUGCAACGAGCGCAACCCUUGUUAUUAGUUGCUACCAUUAAGUUGAGCACUCUAAUGAGACUGCCUGGGUAACCAGGAGGAAGGUGGGGAUGACGUCAAAUCAUCAUGCCCCUUAUGUCCAGGGCUACACACGUGCUACAAUGGUAGGUACAAUAAGACGCAAGACCGUGAGGUGGAGCAAAACUUAUAAAACCUAUCUCAGUUCGGAUUGUAGGCUGCAACUCGCCUACAUGAAGCUGGAGUUGCUAGUAAUCGCGAAUCAGAAUGUCGCGGUGAAUACGUUCCCGGGCCUUGUACACACCGCCCGUCACACCAUGAGAGCUGGUAACACCCGAAGUCCGUGAGGUAACCGUAAGGAGCCAGCGGCCGAAGGUGGGAUUAGUGAUUGGGGUGAAGUCGUAACAAGGUAGCCGUAGGAGAACCUGCGGCUGGAUCACCUCCUAAGGGCGACACGCGAUUGCAGUUAACACGAGUAUCCU